GAUGGGAUGGCUGGUCCCAGCAGCUGAUGGAAGCCUCCAGAGUGAGGGAGUUCUAUUUGGAACAGGGAUGGGUCUGACCACGUUCUUAGCCACGUUAAGGAUAGGAGAUUGCUUCUAUGGACUUCUCAAAGGUGGGUCAGGCUGUCAGGGGAGAACCCAGAGGCUGUAUGUGGCCAUGGCUACAGGAUCGGCGGGGCAUGAGCUGGAGAAGCAGCAGCCACGCCAUGCGGCAUGUGGGAUCUCAGUUCCCCGACCAGGGAUGGAACCCGCACCUCCUGCAGUGGAAUUGUGGAGUCUUAACUACUGGACUGCCAGGGAAGUCCCUGCAUUUUUAAUAAGCAUCUUAGAUAGAGCUUAAUGGGGAGUAAAGUUUGGACGUAUCAUCUAUGAAAAGAAUCUCAAGAUCACUUGCCUCUCUGACGUAUGGAAUUUCUUCAUUUUUGUACAUUCUUCAGCUUUUGGUUUUGAUUAUGUCCUUGUAGUCUCUUGGGAUAGGAAUGCCUCUCCUGGAUUAUUUUCUCCACUGUGUCUAGGAAGUCUGCAUCUUUCCGAAUGAGUUGUGCUGUCAAAGAGUGUCCCUAGAAAUCUUUCAUGUUCUAUCUAAGAGGAAGAUGACUUGCAUUUAUAGCACACAGUAUAGGCAGUGACCUUGGGCAAGAAGAAAAGCAAUGAUAUUAAUACCAUAUAUUUGAAUAAUGUUCUACAGUUCACAGUUAAGUUGAAUUAAAUUGCAUAGUUAAAUUCAUAAAUUAUAUGAUUACAUCAAUUCUCACAACUUGCUGUGAGGAUUGGUAAUAUUCCUAUUUUACAGAUUAAGAAAUUGAGGUUCAAAGAAGACAAGGCCUUACCAUAGGUCAGUGGACUUAUAUAUGGAAGGAUGGGUCCUGGAGUCAGGGUCUUCCAACAACUGGCCUGCUGAUGCUGACACAUGCCACCCAACGGCCUCCUGAAUGGCUUUCGCGCACAUACCUUGUUCAAGUAUGUGGAGGAGACCAAACUGAAAAGAAAGCAUCAUAGGUUUUAGACUGAAACAAAUCAGGGCUAACCAGAAGAAACCUUUUAGGCCAAAGGCCACUUGAGGUGGCCCUGGUUCCUCCAUGUUUCACUCACUGGCUCCUUGUAUCUGCUGGACCUGCAUUUCCAUUCACCAUGUCUCAGGAGGAAAACAAUUCUAGUGACCUCGCUGUAGGGAGAUGGGAGCCUCAGGCAUCUUAUCAAACUGCCAGGCUGUUCUACAUAAGCAGGGCUCUUGGCUCUGGUGUAGGAAAGCAAUGCCAUUGUCGGCUAACACUCAAGCAUCUUGGCGAACUUGCUAAGUGUGUGGGGAGCCCUAACCACUGUUGUUGGCGGGAAGACCAAGCUAUCACUUGUACCUCACUUUCAGAAUUCGGCCCUGUUUAAAUUAAGCUCUGCAGGUGGAGUCCUGGAUUGUGAGAAGGAUACAAAGCCUGAGGACACGUUGGCAUUUAUUCCUCAUGCUGCUUCUGAGGACACACAAGAGGGUGUUCCGGCCAAAUUAGCCAGUUAUUGGUUCCUCGAGUAACUUUGGUUUUGGACACCUGACUUGACUCUGUGAGCGAGCAGGCAGCUGUUUUCCCUGAGUGUGUUUGCCUCUUGGCUUUCCUGUCACUACAUGAACGUUCAGCCCACGGAUUUCUGUUAUCUAAUCAGGUGCAUCGGUCCGCGGUGGAGAUGAGAGGGGAGGAAUACCCCUCUGACUCAGAUUUUGCACAAACAAAACUCAGCCUUGUUAACAAAGGCAGGGAGGAGUGCCCACGGCUGCUCAGAUCAGAUCUUCCCCGACAAUCUGCGGGGCAGUGCAGAUGGGUGGGUUUUUAUGGCAAGAUAAGCAACUGGAGGGCUCCACUUUGGUAUGCUAAAUAAAAUUAAAAUGUCAAUAUUUACACAUGAC
Long non-coding RNA from Orcinus orca (killer whale), 1912 nucleotides. RefSeq lists it as uncharacterized. The record is from RefSeq and is a predicted model, not a curated record. The transcript has 6 exons. NCBI's taxonomy places the organism in Eukaryota, Metazoa, Chordata, Mammalia, Artiodactyla, Delphinidae.